GGACGGGUAGCUCAGUUGGUUAGAGCGCCUGCUUUACACGCAGGAUGUCGCGGGUUCGAGUCCCUCUCCGUCCACCA
This 77-nucleotide transfer RNA is filed under the name bacterium. RNAcentral describes it as "tRNA-Val". It matches the Rfam family "tRNA". Rfam says of the family: Transfer RNA (tRNA) molecules are approximately 80 nucleotides in length. Their secondary structure includes four short double-helical elements and three loops (D, anti-codon, and T loops). Further hydrogen bonds mediate the characteristic L-shaped molecular structure. tRNAs have two regions of fundamental functional importance: the anti-codon, which is responsible for specific mRNA codon recognition, and the 3' end, to which the tRNAs corresponding amino acid is attached (by aminoacyl-tRNA synthetases). tRNAs cope with the degeneracy of the genetic code in two manners: having more than one tRNA (with a specific anti-codon) for a particular amino acid; and 'wobble' base-pairing, i.e. permitting non-standard base-pairing at the 3rd anti-codon position. The record is from RNAcentral. RNAcentral also lists the same sequence under 1 other name.